CGGGAGGCAGCAGUAGGGAAUUUUCCACAAUGGACGAAAGUCUGAUGGAGCAACGCCGCGUGAACGAUGAAGGCUUUCGGGUCGUAAAGUUCUGUUGUUAGGGAAGAAACAGUGCUAUUUAAAUAAGGUAGCACCUUGACGGUACCUAACGAGAAAGCCACGGCUAACUACGUGCCAGCAGCCGCGGUAAUACGUAGGUGGCAAGCGUUGUCCGGAAUUAUUGGGCGUAAAGCGCGCGCAGGUGGCUAUGUAAGU
This 255-nucleotide ribosomal RNA is filed under the name Brevibacillus laterosporus. Its description in RNAcentral is "partial 16S ribosomal RNA". It matches the Rfam family "Bacterial small subunit ribosomal RNA", at positions 342 to 588 of the family's 1533-position model. The record is from RNAcentral. Lineage: Bacteria; Bacillati; Bacillota; Bacilli; Caryophanales; Paenibacillaceae.